UCCACUGAGGACAACAACCACAUCCAUAACCCUGCUCUCUAUAUAAGGAGAGAUCAGGGAUGGUCUCAGCCUACCAAUCUCUCUCUACUACAAUGCCCUCAGUGACACCGCCCUGUCAUGUCACAGGAUGAGGCUGAGAUAAGCAGCCUGUGCCUGGGGCAGAUUACUGGAGGGGGCUGCCUGGGGCUGGAGCUCCCAGCAGGAUAGCCUCAGACCCGCCAUGCCGACCCAGCAGGAGGAAGCCAUCAGCGGUCAGUGACAGCUAGUCUCAACCUCUGGCCCCACGGAAUGGCUAAACAGGAUGUGGAGGCAAUUUGGAUUUCGACCGCACAUGCAAAACGAGUUACUCCGUUAAUAAGGAAUAAGCAGCUGCAGUGCGUACUGGACUCCGCUUCCUGGUGUGACAUAAGCUGCUGGGAGCCUCCUGUGUCUGCUGUUACAUAACAUCUACAGUUACAUCCCUGCAAGUCCAAGGCCCUGUCCCAAUAGCUUGAAGCUAUUCAACUCAGCCUGAGACUACCCCAUCUACGUCAUUGUUGUUCAAUAAGAACAGAAUGUUCCUUGUGUGAGAUAAAACAUGUGCCUUCUGUAUCUGAAAUCUUCUUCAAUAAUCAAUAAACACAUGGCAACUUCAUUA
Salmo salar (Atlantic salmon) is the source of this 637-nucleotide long non-coding RNA. RefSeq lists it as uncharacterized. NCBI's taxonomy places the organism in Eukaryota, Metazoa, Chordata, Actinopteri, Salmoniformes, Salmonidae. The record is from RefSeq and is a predicted model, not a curated record.